GGAGGGGGUUUGUCUUUCAGAUCAAACCUUACAAACAGCAAUUUUCUAUUUGUUCAAAACAGAUGUUAGGACCAUUUUCCCUCCCCAGUGCCACUUUAAGGGGCUUUUAGGGAUGACCACUGAGAGUCUGAGAUGUUCUGAGCAACACUGCCUCAUCUUUCAUCCAAAGUUGGCUGGCAAAGGAUCCAUGAGACUAUGCAAAGCACUCACCAGUGUUCCCAUGUUUUGAGAUUUGCACGCCUUUGAUAUUUUGACGGGAAAAGAGCAUCACCACAAAACAAGCCGCUAGAGGAUUAAAGGAGAUUUAUCACCCAGAAGGGUUCUAGGUAUCAUGGUUAACUGAGGUUUACUCACUUCGGAGAGAAUGCCCCAGUGGGAGAAAAUGUAACCUGAUUGGUCUUGAAAGAGAAUGCCAGCCCAAAUAAGAAUAAACAAACAAACAAAUGGACAGAGAAUCUCAGGAGGAGAAUAGAAUUAACUGGAAGGACACCACCAGGGGAAUUUGACAAAGGGCCAACAAUGGAAUUGAUUAGAUUGCUACCUGGAACAGUGGGUAGAGAAUGGAAUCUGGGAUUCUCUAGAACCUUCUACCUGAUGGAGGCCUUUCAGUGUUCUGUUUAGCCACAGAGCUGGUGCCUUUUCUGCUAGACCACCACCUAAUGAUUCCAGAGGACUCACUCCCCUAAACCAGUUACCCUCUCCCACAAGUACCCAGGGCCUUGCUAUCCACUUCUUGGAUGAAAAUAUUUGGAUCAGACUCAGACACCUUGACCCCGGUUCAGUUUUUCCUGGGGAGCGGCUGUGGCCCCCUCUGAUGCCCCCAGCUCAAUGCAUCACAGAAAGAAUUCCAGCCACUCAGCAACCUCUUGUGAUCUUCCAGGUGAGCAGGUUAACAAAUUAAAGAAUCAUUACCAUUACCAUUACCAUGUUUUCCGACUGAGCACUUCACCAUUUGGACGGGCA
Molecule: long non-coding RNA, 963 nt
Filed under: Homo sapiens (human)
Lineage: Eukaryota; Metazoa; Chordata; Mammalia; Primates; Hominidae
Description: HSALNT0359825
Source: RNAcentral